Molecule: ribosomal RNA, 1887 nt
Filed under: Triticum aestivum (bread wheat)
Lineage: Eukaryota; Viridiplantae; Streptophyta; Magnoliopsida; Poales; Poaceae
Description: partial small subunit ribosomal RNA
Source: RNAcentral
AUGGACCCCCGCCGCUUCCUCUGCUGCCUCCUGCUCGCCCUCGCCCUCGCCUCCCGCCGCUGCGCCGCGCAGGGCGGCGCCGGGCGCUUCGCGUGCCUCGUGCCGGCCCCGUGCGACACGUUCGUCCUGUACCGCACGCAGGCCCCGGGGUCCCUCGACCUCGGCGCCGUCUCGGACCUCUUCGGCGUGAGCCGGGCCAUCAUCGCCAGCGCCAACGGCUUCGGCCUCGACGCCGAGGGCGCGGCGCUGCUGCCCGACCAGCCGCUGCUCGUGCCCGUCCGCUGCGGCUGCACCGGCGGCCGCUCCUUCGUCAACGUCACCUACCCCAUCCGCUCCGGCGACACCUUCUACGCGCUCGCGCUCACCGGCUUCGAGAACCUCACCACCCCCGACGUCAUCCAGGAGCUCAACCCGCAGGCGGUCUUCAACAAGCUCAAUGUCUCGCAGCUCGUCACCGUGCCGCUCUUCUGCCGCUGCCCCACGCCGGCCGAGCGGGCCGCCGGGGCGCAGCUGCUCGUCACCUACAUGUGGCGCCCUGUCGACACCAUGCCCGAGGUGAGCAACCUGAUGGGCUCCGACGUCGGCGCCAUCGCUGCGGUGAACAACGUCAGCGCCGACUUCACCUCCACGACGAUGCUGCCGAUGCUGGUCCCGGUGGCGCGGCCGCCGGUGCUUCCUCCGCUGCAAUAUGGCGCGAGCCCGAGCACCGGCGAUCCCGGAGCCAGCAAGGGCUUCUCGGGCGCCACCGUCGCGGCGAGCAUCGCGGGGUCUCUCGUCGCCGUCGCUGCCCUGUGCACGGCGAUCUUCGCGUACCGGAGGUACCGCGAGAAGAAGGCCACGGUGCACUCGGCGUCCAGGUUCGCGAGCCCGAGGUUUUGCUUCAACCAGAACGCUUACGGGAUUCAGAACAGCAGUUCCAUCGCUCGCAUGAUCAACGGAGGGGACAAGCUGCUCACCAGCGUGUCGCAGUUCAUCAACAAGCCUAUCAUCUUCGGUACAGAGGAGAUCAUGGAGGCGACGAUGAACUUGGACGAACGGUGCAGGAUCGGCAGCUCCUACUACCGGGCCAAGCUGGAAGGCGAGGUGUUCGCGGUGAAGCCGGCGAAAGGCGACGUGUCGGCGGAGCUGAGGAUGAUGCAGAUGGUCAACCACGCCAACCUCAUCAGGCUGGCCGGCAUAUCCAUCGGCGCAGACGGGGACUACACCUUCCUCGUGUACGAGUUCGCCGAGAAGGGCUCGCUCGACAAGUGGCUGUACCAGAAGCCUCCGUCCUCGCUGCCGUCGUCGAGCUCAUCGGCGGACACGCUCUCGUGGAACCAGAGGCUGGGCAUCGCGUUCGACGUCGCCAACGGCCUGCUCUACAUGCACGAGCACACUCAGCCGAGCAUGGUGCACGGCGACGUCCGCGCACGGAACAUCCUCCUCACCGCGGACUUCAGGGUCAGGAUAUCUAACUUCUCCGUGGCCACGCCGGCGAUGGCCGACGCCGCGGCGACGAGCAGCGACGUGUUCGCCUUCGGCCUGCUGGUCCUCGAGCUUCUCUCCGGCAGGACGGCCAUGGAGGCGCGCGUCGGCGCGGAGAUCGGCAUGCUGUGGAGGGACAUCCGGGCGGUGCUGGAGGCCGGGGACAAGAGGGACGCCAAGCUGAGGAAGUGGAUGGACCCCGCCCUUGGGGACGAGUACUACUUGGAUGCGGCACUCAGCCUGGCCGGCAUGGCGAGGGCCUGCACGGAGGAGGACGCGGCGCGGCGGCCGAAGAUGGCCGACGUCGUGUUCAGCCUUUCAAUGCUGGUGCAGCCGUCACCGGUGGGCGACGCGUUCGAGAAGCUAUGGCAGCCCAGCUCGGAGGAGAACAUUAGGAUUGUCAAUGAAGUGGCAGCCAGAUGA